GACGAACGCUGGCGGCGUGCUUAACACAUGCAAGUCGAGCGGUAAGGCCCUUUCGGGGGUACACGAGCGGCGAACGGGUGAGUAACACGUGGGUGACCUGCCCUCAGCUCUGGGAUAAGCCUGGGAAACUGGGUCUAAUACUGGAUAUGACUCCACGGUGCAUGUCGUGGGGUGGAAAGCCUUGUGCGGCUGAGGAUGGGCCCGCGGCCUAUCAGCUUGUUGGUGGGGUGANGGCCUACCAAGGCGACGACGGGUAGCCGGCCUGAGAGGGCGACCGGCCACACUGGGACU
RNAcentral lists this ribosomal RNA (291 nucleotides) under uncultured bacterium. RNAcentral's name for it is "partial 16S ribosomal RNA". It matches the Rfam family "Bacterial small subunit ribosomal RNA", at positions 28 to 320 of the family's 1533-position model. The record is from RNAcentral.